GACGAACGCUGGCGGCGUGCCUAAUACAUGCAAGUCGAGCGAGACUCUUCGGAGUCUAGCGGCGGACGGGUGAGUAACACGUGGGCAACCUGCCUGUAAGACUGGGAUAACACCGGGAAACCGGUGCUAAUACCGGAUAAUCCUUUUUCUCUCAUGAGGAAAAGCUGAAAGUCGGUUUCGGCUGACACCUACAGAUGGGCCCGCGGCGCAUUAGCUAGUUGGUGAGGUAACGGCUCACCAAGGCGACGAUGCGUAGCCGACCUGAGAGGGUGGUCGGCCACACUGGGACUGAGACACGGCCCAGACUCCUGCGGGAGGCAGCAGUAGGGAAUCUUCCACAAUGGACGAAAGUCUGAUGGAGCAACGCCGCGGGAGCGAUGAAGGCCUUCGGGUCGUAAAGCUCUGUUGUUAGGGAAGAACAAGUACCGGAGUAACGGCCGGUACCUUGACGGUACCUAACCAGAAAGCCACGGCUAACUACGUGCCAGCCGCCGCCGUAA
RNAcentral lists this ribosomal RNA (500 nucleotides) under uncultured bacterium. RNAcentral's name for it is "partial 16S ribosomal RNA". It matches the Rfam family "Bacterial small subunit ribosomal RNA", at positions 28 to 523 of the family's 1533-position model. The record is from RNAcentral.